GAUGAACGCUGGCGGCGUGUCUAAUACAUGCAAGUCGAGCGAACAGACGAGGAGCUUGCUCCUCUGACGUUAGCGGCGGACGGGUGAGUAACACGUGGAUAACCUACCUAUAAGACUGGGAUAACUUCGGGAAACCGGAGCUAAUACCGGAUAAUAUAUUGAACCGCAUGGUUCAAUAGUGAAAGACGGUUUUGCUGUCACUUAUAGAUGGAUCCGCGCCGCAUUAGCUAGUUGGUAAGGUAACGGCUUACCAAGGCGACGAUGCGUAGCCGACCUGAGAGGGUGAUCGGCCACACUGGAACUGAGAAACGGUCCAGACUCCUACGGGAGGCAGCAGUAGGGAAUCUUACGCAAUGGGCGAAAGCCUGACGGAGCAACGCCGCGUGAGUGAUGAAGGUCUUCGGAUCGUAAAACUCUGUUAUUAGGGAAGAACAAAUGUGUAAGUAACUAUGCACGUCUUGACGGUACCUAAUCAGAAAGCCACGGCUAACUACGUG
RNAcentral lists this ribosomal RNA (497 nucleotides) under uncultured bacterium. RNAcentral's name for it is "partial 16S ribosomal RNA". It matches the Rfam family "Bacterial small subunit ribosomal RNA", at positions 28 to 507 of the family's 1533-position model. The record is from RNAcentral.